RNAcentral lists this ribosomal RNA (466 nucleotides) under uncultured bacterium. Its description in RNAcentral is "partial 16S ribosomal RNA". It matches the Rfam family "Bacterial small subunit ribosomal RNA", at positions 28 to 507 of the family's 1533-position model. The record is from RNAcentral.
GAUGAACGCUGGCGGCGUGCUUAACACAUGCAAGUCGAACGAUGAAGCCCAGCUUGCUGGGUGGAUUAGUGGCGAACGGGUGAGUAACACGUGAGUAACCUGCCCUUAACUCUGGGAUAAGCCUGGGAAACUGGGUCUAAUACCGGAUAGGAGCGUCCACCGCAUGGUGGGUGUUGGAAAGAUUUAUCGGUUUUGGAUGGACUCGCGGCCUAUCAGCUUGUUGGUGAGGUAAUGGCUCACCAAGGCGACGACGGGUAGCCGGCCUGAGAGGGUGACCGGCCACACUGGGACUGAGACACGGCCCAGACUCCUACGGGAGGCAGCAGUGGGGAAUAUUGCACAAUGGGCGCAAACCUGAUGCAGCGACGCCGCGUGAGGGAUGACGGCCUUCGGGUUGUAAACCUCUUUCAGUAGGGAAGAAGCGAAAGUGACGGUACCUGCAGAAGAAGCACCGGCUAACUACGUG